Fukomys damarensis (Damara mole-rat) is the source of this 274-nucleotide long non-coding RNA. RefSeq lists it as uncharacterized. NCBI's taxonomy places the organism in Eukaryota, Metazoa, Chordata, Mammalia, Rodentia, Bathyergidae. The transcript has 3 exons. The record is from RefSeq and is a predicted model, not a curated record.
GCUGUCUGCAUGCUGUUUAGAGCAGAAGCACUCUGCAUGAGUAACUGUUCCUGCACAGUCUCCUGGGUGGAACCAGGGAUGAGAGUGAACUCAUUUCACUCCAGUCUGCAACUCCAAGUUGCACUGCAAGCAGGACGAUGCCACAGUGUUCUCACCAUGCGUCGAAUAGGUUGCAGGCUGAAGUGACGGCAGGCUGACUGACUCAUGAAGCAUUCCUUGUCAGAUGGUUGGCCUCAGGCUGAGGUGGCUGUAUGCAUGCUCUGGAGAGCAGGAG